This 1346-nucleotide ribosomal RNA is filed under the name uncultured bacterium. RNAcentral's name for it is "bacterial SSU rRNA". It matches the Rfam family "Bacterial small subunit ribosomal RNA", at positions 28 to 1381 of the family's 1533-position model. The record is from RNAcentral.
GACGAACGCUGGCGGCGUGCUUAACACAUGCAAGUCGAACGAUGAAGCCUAGCUUGCUAGGUGGAUUAGUGGCGAACGGGUGAGUAAUACGUGAGUGACCUACCUUUGACUCUGGGAUAAGCCUGGGAAACUGGGUCUAAUACCGGAUACGACCAAUCUCCGCAUGGGGUGUUGGUGGAAAGCGUUAUGGAGUGGUUUUAGAUGGGCUCACGGCCUAUCAGCUUGUUGGUGAGGUAAUGGCUUACCAAGGCGACGACGGGUAGCCGGCCUGAGAGGGUGACCGGCCACACUGGGACUGAGACACGGCCCAGACUCCUACGGGAGGCAGCAGUGGGGAAUAUUGCACAAUGGGCCCAAGCCUGAUGCAGCGACGCCGCGUGAGGGAUGACGGCCUUCGGGUUGUAAACCUCUGUUAGCAUCGAAGAAGCGAAAGUGACGGUAGGUGCAGAGAAAGCGCCGGCUAACUACGUGCCAGCAGCCGCGGUAAUACGUAGGGCGCGAGCGUUGUCCGGAAUUAUUGGGCGUAAAGAGCUUGUAGGCGGUUAGUCGCGUCUGCUGUGAAGGCUGGGGCUUAACCCUGGUUUUGCAGUGGGUACGGGCUAACUAGAGUGCAGUAGGGGAGACUGGAGUUCCUGGUGUAGCGGUGGAAUGCGCAGAUAUCAGGAGGAACACCGAUGGCGAAGGCAGGUCUCUGGGCUGUAACUGACGCUGAGAAGCGAAAGCAUGGGGAGCGAACAGGAUUAGAUACCCUGGUAGUCCAUGCCGUAAACGUUGGGCACUAGGUGUGGGGGACAUUCCACGUUUUCCGCGCCGUAGCUAACGCAUUAAGUGCCCCGCCUGGGGAGUACGGCCGCAAGGCUAAAACUCAAAGAAAUUGACGGGGGCCCGCACAAGCGGCGGAGCAUGCGGAUUAAUUCGAUGCAACGCGAAGAACCUUACCAAGGCUUGACAUAUACUGGACUGCGUCAGAGAUGGCGUUUCCCUUCGGGGCUGGUAUACAGGUGGUGCAUGGUUGUCGUCAGCUCGUGUCGUGAGAUGUUGGGUUAAGUCCCGCAACGAGCGCAACCCUCGUUCUAUGUUGCCAGCACGUGAUGGUGGGGACUCAUAGGAGACUGCCGGGGUCAACUCGGAGGAAGGUGGGGAUGACGUCAAAUCAUCAUGCCCCUUAUGUCUUGGGCUUCACGCAUGCUACAAUGGCCGGUACAGAGGGUUGCGAUACUGUGAGGUGGAGCUAAUCCCUAAAAGCCGGUCUCAGUUCGGAUUGGGGUCUGCAACUCGACCCCAUGAAGUCGGAGUCGCUAGUAAUCGCAGAUCAGCAACGCUGCGGUGAAUACGUUCCCGGGCCU